UACGGAGGGUGCAAACGUUGCUCGGAAUCAUUGGGCGUAAAGCGCACGUAGGCGGCCAUGUAUGUCGGAUGUGAAAGCCCUCGGCUUAACCGAGGAAGUGCAUCCGAAACUGCGUGGCUUGAGUACGGGAGAGGGUAGCGGAAUUCCCGGUGUAGAGGUGAAAUUCGUAGAUAUCGGGAGGAACACCAGUGGCGAAGGCGGCCCCCUGGACAGAUACUGACACUCAGAUGCGAAAGCGUGGGGAGCAAACAGG
Molecule: ribosomal RNA, 253 nt
Filed under: uncultured bacterium
Lineage: Bacteria
Description: partial 16S ribosomal RNA
Rfam family: Bacterial small subunit ribosomal RNA
Source: RNAcentral